Long non-coding RNA from Nothoprocta perdicaria, 687 nucleotides. RefSeq lists it as uncharacterized. The transcript has 3 exons. Lineage: Eukaryota; Metazoa; Chordata; Aves; Tinamiformes; Tinamidae. The record is from RefSeq and is a predicted model, not a curated record.
UGGGAGAGGUGGAAUUGCUGUUGGGAGCUGCCAUUGAUGAAGAAGCAGUUGCUAAAAUGGGUGCAGAUGGCCCUAGCAGAGCCAGGAGCCUGUACAACUGCCCACGUUACAGAUCCGAGCCUAAUCACACCAGACACUUGCGACCCAGCAUGGAAAUAACGUGACUGCAGGCGGGUGCCUCGUUAGCACUGGGCGUCCAGUGUCUGAAAGCCAGCGAGAGAGAGCAAGGGCCCUUGCUGACCUGCGGGCACCUGGGGAGAGGAUGAGUGUGAAUGGCUCGGCGGGGACCCGUCAGCGCAGAGGAGCCUCUGGUCCUUCCCGGGCAGGUGAGGCGCCGCACGGCCCCGCGUCGCAGCGCCCUGAUGUGGCCUUCACCGCUGGAGGUUGUGAUUUGCACGUAUGACUUUGCAUUUCAAAGCCUGACUCUCCCCCUCGCCCUCUCGCAGAUGAAAACGAGGAGUAAUUGUACACAUGGCAGGAAGAAAUUCGCUUUAUUCCCAGAGGUGUAAAUUAAUUGAUUCAGCCCAGGAAAAAGACCUGGACACUGUUAGAGCCAGCUCCCUGAAGGCAUCUCCUCUGUGUACGAGUCUGAUCAAAAAUGCAAAUAAGAUCUCGGGAGAAGUGGGAGAGGAUGGAAAGCAAUAAGAAAAUGUAGUAUUAUCAUGAUACAAAUGGGUAGUGCUGCCU